UACGGUCAUGCUUCGAGUGCCGAGGAAUUUUCCUCACAUGUAUAUCGAAUGUACAAAGUCCAAGACUCGUGGUCGAUCGUUACGACGAGGUAGGUAUAGGUAAUGGAUGUAUAGAGCAUUCUUUGUCAACUGGAUCCUUCACUCGAUCAACCUCAGCGAUAUUUUUCAUACCUAAUCAGUAUGUACCACUUCCUGAUACAAAGUUUUACGAAUUAUUUCAAACUUUGCGAAACUAACGGUUCGAUUACAUGAUACAUUUUUUUUCAGCAAUCAAAGAUGACGAUCAAAUUUACCGAUCAAAUAAUUAGAUUCAUUGCACCUCGAGUUCUACUCGACGAAUGUUCAAUUGGGACGAUAAGAUUGCUGUAAAAUAAUCGCGAAAUGUGGGUAUAUUAUUGAGAAAAUCGCUACUCAGCACCGUUGGCUAAGACAUCGGUAGUCACGAGUACGUGAUUGUUGUGAUUCUGUUGUCGAUUUUGAUUGUUGACUGCUUUUCCCGUAGCCGGACGA
Athalia rosae (coleseed sawfly) is the source of this 510-nucleotide long non-coding RNA. RefSeq lists it as uncharacterized. Lineage: Eukaryota; Metazoa; Arthropoda; Insecta; Hymenoptera; Athaliidae. The transcript is spliced from 2 exons. The record is from RefSeq and is a predicted model, not a curated record.